CAAAGCAGCGAUGUGGAGNAAACCCCUAAAAAAUAGGUCUCAGUUCAGAUUGCAGGCUGCAACCCGCCUGCAUGAAGUCGGAAUUGCUAGUAAUCGCGGAUCAGCAUGCCGCGGUGAAUACGUUCCCGGGCCUUGUACACACCGCCCGUCACACCAUGGGAGUUUGUAACGCCCAAAGUCGGUGGCCUAACCUUUAUGGAGGGAGCCGCCUAAGGCGGGACAGAUGACUGGGGUGAAGUCGUAACAAGGUAGC
RNAcentral lists this ribosomal RNA (253 nucleotides) under uncultured bacterium. RNAcentral's name for it is "partial 16S ribosomal RNA". It matches the Rfam family "Bacterial small subunit ribosomal RNA", at positions 1250 to 1500 of the family's 1533-position model. The record is from RNAcentral.